UCCUACGGGGGGCAGCAGUGGGGAGUAUUGCACAAUGGGCGAAAGCCUGAUGCAGCGACGCCGCGUGAAGGAUGAAGUAUUUCGGUAUGUAAACUUCUAUCAGCAGGGAAGAAAAUGACGGUACCUGACUAAGAAGCCCCGGCUAACUACGUGCCAGCAGCCGCGGUAAUACGUAGGGGGCAAGCGUUAUCCGGAUUUACUGGGUGUAAAGGGAGCGUAGACGGCGAUGCAAGCCAGAUGUGAAAGCCCGGGGCCCAACCCCGGGACUGCAUUUGGAACUGUGUGGCUGGAGUGUCGGAGAGGCA
Molecule: ribosomal RNA, 305 nt
Filed under: uncultured bacterium
Lineage: Bacteria
Description: bacterial SSU rRNA
Rfam family: Bacterial small subunit ribosomal RNA
Source: RNAcentral